This 76-nucleotide transfer RNA is filed under the name Sphingopyxis macrogoltabida. Its description in RNAcentral is "tRNA-Pro". It matches the Rfam family "tRNA". From Rfam's summary of the family: Transfer RNA (tRNA) molecules are approximately 80 nucleotides in length. Their secondary structure includes four short double-helical elements and three loops (D, anti-codon, and T loops). The record is from RNAcentral. Lineage: Bacteria; Pseudomonadati; Pseudomonadota; Alphaproteobacteria; Sphingomonadales; Sphingopyxidaceae.
CAGGGGGUAGCUCAGUUGGUAGAGCGCUCGGUUUGGAUCCGAGAGGCCGCAGGUUCAAAUCCUGUUCCCCUGACCA